This 1791-nucleotide long non-coding RNA is filed under the name Sorghum bicolor (sorghum). RNAcentral describes it as "long non-coding RNA (SBIC_LNC002709)". Lineage: Eukaryota; Viridiplantae; Streptophyta; Magnoliopsida; Poales; Poaceae. The record is from RNAcentral.
CCCCACACUUGAGUCUUUGCUCGUCCUCGAGUAAAGGUUAAAAAUGAGUGAUCAAUGAUUUCUAACUUAAGAUAGUAGUGAGCAUAAAAUGCUAGUUCGAACAUAGUUCAUCCAAAUGGGUUUUUGUGUAAGUGUCUAGCAUAUAUCCUUCAGAGGUUGAGAAAAGGAACAACUCUCAGAACAAGAUCAAAUUCCAAUUUCAUAUUCUUGGUACUUAGAGUUUUUAUGACACUUUUUAAAAUAAGUCACAUAGUUCAAUCCUACUCCUCAUUUAGCGCUCUAGAUCACUCAAAGUUUUUUAGUAGUCCUCACCAAGGCAUGGAUGCCAACUUGUUUCAUCCUAUAAUUAUAGGCUUAUAUGGGGCUUGGUAGGGAUAAACAAGGUAGCAUACUCUACUUUGCAAAUAUUGUUAAGUCAAAAACAAGGAUCCAAAGAGAGGAGUGUCAUAGUCAUAGAUCAAGAUGUGCAAGUGUGUUAUAUGGUGGACUAGGUUGCUCCUUUAUUUACUACACUCUCUCUACUUGUAUAUUGAGACAUGGCUAGAUUUUCUUUUUCUUCGAGCUUUAUGUGCUCAAUUUUUUUUUCAUGGACUUGCACAUGUCCAUCUUUUCUUUUUCUUUUAUUUUGCCAAGCCCUUUUAUGUCUCAUUUUCUAAACAAUAUUUAGAGAGGUGUUCUAACACUUAGAGUAUGGAGCAACCUAUUUAGUGGAUGCACAAUACAUGUGGUUGCGUACUUCCAGUGUAGAAGCAGCAUAUAUAUAUGUGGUGUGUACGUGAUCUUGAUCUUGUGACUAUGAUACAACUCUCACUAGGGUCAACAAGGUUUUGACAAAACUCAUUACAAAAGCAGGUUGCAUUUCAUAAAAUGGUUACUUGAAUAUCUAAGUGUAUGGCUUUUAGUGGGAAUUUCUUGCUAAUGAGGAGUAAAUGAUACUAUGGUUUUGUGAUAUUUUUGAAACAAAUCUCUAAGUACCUUGAAUAGAAAUGUUAUGAAUUCUUAGCCAAGAGUUAUAUCACUUUCAUCAACAACUUAGUCAAUAUGGUUCCUAUAGAUUUUUACCCAUGAGGAUGAACAAUUGUAAGAACUAUACUUUAUGUCACUAUUUCUCUUGAAUCAUGUACCAGUUCACUUUUUAUUUUGCAAACAAGUUUAAACUAUCAAAUUUUAUUUUAAUUGUGACACAAAGGUAAAGAAUUGGACAGACUGAGAGGGGGAAGAAUUAGCAAACCGGGCAGGAAAGAUGUCUUUCGUCGUAUAGAAGCUGCCUGGUGGGCUCAGGGCUCCAUGGAAGGGUCGGCCGACCCCACCUGGAGGUUCCUGGCCCUGCCACUCGAUUCUACGUCCCUCGGGAAGUCUUUCUGCACUUGUGUCGUUUCCUUUUGCCAUAGAAAGGGGGUCGGGCGACCCCCUCAUCGCGCCUGUUUUUGGUGCCAUGACGUGCCGAGGUGUAUGCAGUGUUGUUCCAUGCUCACGGUAGUUCAGAGAUGAAGUUGGGGGGUCGGGCGACCCCCCCCACACUUGCAGUUUUCGUGCAGCUGAACUUACAACAGAGAGAGAUGAUCAAAUGCAGACGUCCUGCUGGUGGCAACACACCAGCAGGACCAAAAACAACUCUAUUAAAUCAAAUUUCAAUUGUAUAGGCACUUUUACAUUGUGAAAUUCAAAGUGACAAAUUGGAAAAUAAAAUUGAGUAAUCAAACCUAAAUAAUCAAAUAGUGCCUAUAACCUAAACUAACUAAUUUAUUUAGGGAGAUGGAGGUUUGAGGAGAUCCUCCCGCCCAAUUGCUU